AUCCGGCUGACGAGUCUCAAACAGGACGAAACGCGCGUCCUGGAU
Molecule: non-coding RNA, 45 nt
Filed under: Schistosoma mattheei
Lineage: Eukaryota; Metazoa; Platyhelminthes; Trematoda; Strigeidida; Schistosomatidae
Source: RNAcentral